GACGAACGCUGGCGGCGUGCUUAACACAUGCAAGUCGAACGGAAAGGCCCUGCUUUUGUGGGGUGCUCGAGUGGCGAACGGGUGAGUAACACGCGAGUAACCUGUCCUUGACUUUGGGAUAACUUCAGGAAACUGGGGCUAAUACCGGAUAGGAGCUCUUGCUGCACGGUGGGGGUUGGUAAGUUUCGGCGGUUGGGGAUGGAAUCGCGGCUUAUCAGCUUGUUGGUGGGGUAGUGGCUUACCAAGGCUUCGACGGGUAGCCGGCCUGAGCGGGUGACCGGCCACAUUGGGACUGAGAUACGGCCCAGACUCCUACGGGAGGCAGCAGUGGGGAAUAUUGCACAAUAGGCGGAAGCCUGAUGCAGCAACGCCGCGUGCGGGAUGACGGCCUUCGGGUUGUAAACCGCUUUCGCCUGUGACGAAGCGUGAGUGACGGUAAUGGGUAAAGAAGCACCGGCUAACUACGUG
Molecule: ribosomal RNA, 468 nt
Filed under: uncultured bacterium
Lineage: Bacteria
Description: partial 16S ribosomal RNA
Rfam family: Bacterial small subunit ribosomal RNA
Source: RNAcentral